This is a long non-coding RNA of Olea europaea var. sylvestris, 803 nucleotides long. RefSeq lists it as uncharacterized. The transcript is spliced from 2 exons. NCBI's taxonomy places the organism in Eukaryota, Viridiplantae, Streptophyta, Magnoliopsida, Lamiales, Oleaceae. The record is from RefSeq and is a predicted model, not a curated record.
UGUCUUAGAUGAUUAAGUAUGGUUUAUAUUAAAAUUUUUAGGGUUUUAUCAUGUAAUAAUAAAAUGUUAAAUUUAUGUGAUAUAUGUACGAUUUGGAGCUCAAGCUUAGGGAUUAAUUAUGUUUCAAUUUUAACAAGGUGUUUAGGCAAUGAAAAUUUUGGAAACCCUAGAAUCCGAUUUUGGGGAUUUUAAUUAAUUAAUUGUGGAAGUGAUUAUAUAAAUGGAAUAUUUCAUUUGGGAGUUGAUUUUAAGGAGCAAAUGUAUAUUAGAUGGGUGGAAAUUAUGGUCACUAGUUUCAUUAAAUUGGAAAGUAAAAUUAGUUUUAACUUGGGAAGAAGGUUUUGUUGAUAAAUUAAUUAUUAGAAAAGGGAUUAGAAAGUGGGAUUAGCUCCAUUGAUCAAAAGAAUAUUUGGGAAUUCAUUCGAGCAUCGACCAAUUUUGGUUAAGUAUUAUAGAAGUAGAUUUUAAAGUUUCUUAAUUUAAUAGUAGUUGAUUAGCCAUCUUGUUAUGUAUUCCAGGUGGUGACGAGGAAGUUGGAAGAGCCUAUCGACCAGUUUAGGUUCAGCUUGUGUUAUAUAGAAGCUGCGUUGAGCCAUAUCAGAGCCUGUCGUUCGACGAGUUGAGCUUCAUCGUGUCCUUGUUUGUAUGUCUCAUUUUGUUAAUUCAUACAACAUAUAUUUUGGGGGUUAAUGUAUUUUGUAUCAAAAAUGUAUUAAGUCUCAUACCCAUUGCAUAUUUUGUGUAUGUUUUGAAAUGGUAAAUUUCUUUUUCAGUACAACUCCUUGAAGAAUUAGUAUUUUGAA